UUCCUUGUGACGCAAUAGGAACUCGUCCUUUCCGUCGACCUACCGUGAGUUGAACAUGUCGCAUACGUCUGAGCGAAGAAACGAUGAUCAAUGGUCAGGAGAUUCCAAAAAUGGUCCUAGUGAAAGUGAACAAUCGUCAUAUGAAGGGCCCUCUGGCAUGGACCCAGGUGGGAUCAUCGAAACGAAUUGGGAUGUUGUCAUCGACAACUUUGAUGAAAUGCACUUAAAAGAAGAACUCCUCCGUGGUAUUUACGCUUAUGGCUUUGAAAAACCAUCUGCAAUUCAACAACGUGCCAUUCUGCCAUGCAUAAAAGGACACGAUGUGAUUGCACAGGCACAGUCAGGAACUGGCAAGACUGCUACAUUUUCAAUCUCCAUUUUACAACAAAUCGACACUAGCAUCAAGGACUGUCAAGCUUUGAUCCUAGCCCCAACUCGUGAGCUUGCUCAACAAAUCCAAAAAGUGGUUAUCGCUUUGGGAGAUUUCAUGCAUGCCGAAUGCCAUGCAUGCAUUGGUGGUACCAAUGUACGCGAGGAUAUGCGGAAACUCGAUCAAGGUGUUCACAUAGUAGUUGGCACACCUGGUAGAGUUUACGAUAUGAUUAGUCGGCGUGCGCUACGGGCCAGUAGUAUCAAACUGUUUGUACUGGAUGAAGCUGAUGAAAUGCUUUCUCGCGGUUUCAAGGAACAGAUUCACGAUGUAUUCAAAUUAUUACCUCAGGAAGUGCAGGUUAUAUUGUUAUCUGCUACAAUGCCAACUGAUGUCUUGGAAGUGUCUACAUGCUUUAUGCGAAAUCCAAUUCGUAUACUGGUGAAAAAGGAAGAGCUCACGCUGGAGGGUAUUAAACAGUUCUUCGUCAAUGUCGAGCGCGAAGAGUGGAAAUUUGAAACUCUGUGCGACUUGUACGAUACAUUAAGUAUUACUCAGGCAGUUAUUUUCUGCAAUACACGGCGUAAAGUAGAUUGGCUAACGGAAAAUAUGCGCACUCGUGAUUUCACGGUUUCUGCGAUGCAUGGAGAUAUGGAGCAGAAAGAACGAGACCUGAUCAUGAGACAGUUCAGAACUGGAUCGUCUCGUGUCCUCAUAACUACGGAUCUUUUAGCGCGUGGUAUUGAUGUUCAACAGGUUUCGCUUGUCAUCAAUUACGAUUUACCUUCCAACCGUGAAAAUUAUAUUCAUAGAAUCGGUCGAGGCGGUCGUUUCGGUCGUAAAGGAGUGGCUAUUAACUUCGUAACAGACGACGACAAACGGGCCUUAAAAGAUAUUGAACAAUUCUAUAACACUCACAUCGAUGAAAUGCCAAUGAAUGUCGCAGAUUUAAUCUAAAAUCUGGCUAUUGGCUAUAAUUCAUUAUAAUUACAAAAAAAGAAAUAAAAAUGCAUCCACCGUGUUCUCCCCCUACGUGUCCAGAUUUAGUAAUUAUGAGCUUCAAGUCCUUCAUCUUGAAUCAUCUUAUCAUUUCGCCGUAUAUUUUACGCGCGUUCUCCAACUGGAUGAUGAUUCAUUCCGUGAUCCUUGGCCCGUCUACGACGCUUCUACCACCGCGAUUGCAACGUGUUCGUCUAGGCAGAGGUUUAGUUGGGUAUUGGAAGGGGUACUUUAAUCACAAGCGUUGCCGAAGGAGAUGUACAAUUUCAGGCUUAGACGAUACGAAUUUUUUGUAUAUCCUAAAUCCCACGUACAAUACCUUCAAUUACGAGAAAUAAAGUGUUUGACCUUUUAAUUGUGGUUUUUGUUAUUACAUUCAUUGAUGAUUAAUGCACGCGUGCUGUGCUCGGUGUAACGAGAAACUCUCCCGGAAAGAAACAAAGAAAGGCAACUUUCGAAAAAUCCGGUGUGUAAUAUUCGUGAAUGUAAAGAUUUUGGGCGAUUCAGUGUGUUAUCGCCGGAUCGAGAGUCGGGGGAACAAGUUCUAUGAACCAGCAUCCAUUAUUAAAACGAAGUUC
This is an RNA transcript of Dufourea novaeangliae, 1947 nucleotides long. It is a transcript of the gene named ATP-dependent RNA helicase eIF4A, with no coding region annotated. The transcript is spliced from 8 exons. The record is from RefSeq and is a predicted model, not a curated record. NCBI's taxonomy places the organism in Eukaryota, Metazoa, Arthropoda, Insecta, Hymenoptera, Halictidae.